GAUAAACGCUGGCGGCGUGCUUAACACAUGCAAGUCGAACGAAGUUUUUCUUUCGGGAGGAACUUAGUGGCGGACGGGUGAGUAACGCGUGGGUAACCUGCCCUGUACAGGGGGACAACAGCUGGAAACGGCUGCUAAUACCGCAUAAGCCCUUAGCACUGCAUGGUGCAUAGGGAAAAGGAGCAAUCCGGUACAGGAUGGACCCGCGUCGGAUUAGCCAGUUGGCAGGGUAACGGCCUACCAAAGCGACGAUCAGUAGCCGAUCUGAGAGGAUGUACGGCCACAUUGGGACUGAGACACGGCCCAGACUCCUACGGGAGGCAGCAGUGGGGAAUAUUGCACAAUGGAGGAAACUCUGAUGCAGCGACGCCGCGAGAGUGAAGAAGUAGUGCGGUAUGUAAAGCUCUAUCAGCAGGAAAGAAAAUGACGGUACCUGACUAAGAAGCACCGGCUAAAUACGUG
RNAcentral lists this ribosomal RNA (462 nucleotides) under uncultured bacterium. Its description in RNAcentral is "partial 16S ribosomal RNA". It matches the Rfam family "Bacterial small subunit ribosomal RNA", at positions 28 to 507 of the family's 1533-position model. The record is from RNAcentral.